GUAGGGUGCAAGCGUUAUCCGGAAUCACUGGGCGUAAAGCGUGCGUAGGCGGCGUGUUAAGUGAGAUGUUAAAUCGUGUGGCUCAACCAUAUCGAUGCAUCUCAUACUGGCAUGCUAGAGGAAGGCAGAGGCAAGUGGAAUUUGUAGUGUAGCAGUGAAAUGCGUAGAUAUUACAAGGAACACCAAUGGCGAAGGCAGCUUGCUGGGCCUUUUCUGACGCUGAGGUACGAAAGCGUGGGGAGCGAACAGGAUUAGAUACCCUGGUAGUCCACGCCGUAAACGAUGCAUACUAGUUGUAUGGGGUAUCGACCCCCUGUGUAACGAAGCUAACGCGAUAAGUAUGCCGCCUGGGAAGUACGGCCGCAAGGCUA
RNAcentral lists this ribosomal RNA (371 nucleotides) under uncultured bacterium. RNAcentral describes it as "bacterial SSU rRNA". It matches the Rfam family "Bacterial small subunit ribosomal RNA", at positions 527 to 896 of the family's 1533-position model. The record is from RNAcentral.